Long non-coding RNA from Zea mays, 388 nucleotides. RefSeq lists it as uncharacterized. The record is from RefSeq and is a predicted model, not a curated record. Lineage: Eukaryota; Viridiplantae; Streptophyta; Magnoliopsida; Poales; Poaceae. The transcript is spliced from 2 exons.
GCGGCACAACUACUGCAUUCUUGAAGGUCGGAUGCACGCAUGCGAAGACAGUAAACAGACCAACCUUCAACCUGUCGCCAUCAGAUCUGAUUGAUAUUCCUAGUGAAGCCCGAAGCAUCAGAAAUAGAUUCAUCACUCAGAUUUGGGCUAAGGGUGGACGAGAGUUGGCUAGGGACGAAGCCCGAAACCUGCUUAAACCAGAUAGCGGUGCCGAAGGUUGAUAACCCAAAGCAUAUUCCGAAGGUUGCUAAGAUGAAGCUUCUCUUUAAGCCUUCAUGUAUAGAACUAAGGAAUAUUUGCAUUAUCUUUGCAAAAAAUUGUAAUCGAGAAUUAAACAGUACUGUGUAUAUUUGCCAUACCUUGUAAUAUAUUUUUACCUUUUCAUCCA